Molecule: long non-coding RNA, 1841 nt
Filed under: Ursus maritimus (polar bear)
Lineage: Eukaryota; Metazoa; Chordata; Mammalia; Carnivora; Ursidae
Description: lncRNA (ENSUMAG00000018239.1)
Source: RNAcentral
CUUGCCUCUGCAUGCUAUUUUCCAAUGUGUGUAACAUACAAAAUAAAGUUAUCAUGGUCACAAUUUAACCCAAAAAAUGCUGGAUUAAAUGAAAUGAAACAGGUUCUCUCUCUCUCUCUUUUUUUUCUCUGUGCUCUUCUCCAGAAGGGACUUUCCCACGGGCAGCGUAGGACAGAAGUCUUUUUUUCCCUGGGAGUCCAUCCUGUGGGAUUUGUGCUCUGGGGCAUGUCCCGUAGAAAAUUUGAUGUUAGCUAGAAGUUCACAGAGUACUGGGGCAGGGUGAUACAUGAAGACAGAUUUAUGAGAAUGUCACUGGUGAUGAGGCAGACAUGGGAUGUGCUCACGGGGACCUAUCUUGCGGACAGAAAACUCUCCUCCCUCUGCCUUGUGCUUUAUGUAGAUGAAGUCUCCUUCCAAGGACCACUCAAGAGCGGACUUAUUGCCUAAGAACAGAUUGCUUCUGAAAAACCGUCUUGUAACCAAGGUGUUGAAGAAAGAAGAGACAAGUGGAAGACAACCAGAUUGAGGCAAUGACAAAGACAGAACAGGGUGCCAGCUACCGCUGACAUGACGUCUGCUAUGCGCCCAGCCUCCUAUUAAGGAAUUCAACUUUUCUAUCAACGCUUUGAGCAUAACCUCGCUCAUCCUGACUGAUGCGCCAUAGAAGAUCUUCUGGAAGAUGAUUUUGAAGAUGAACAUCGUUUUUGCCAAACAGAGAGAACAGAGAGGAAAUUGGAAGCUUGAAUUUAGAGGUGGCUGUGGAAUUGCCGAGUCCUGCUUGUUGGAACACGGGAAGGUCUCUACAAGGGGAGGGCUGAGCUGUGUAGAGAGAAGCUCAGUCCAGAGAGAUGUAGAGACAGCACAGUGGAGGCUUGGAGGCUCUGCCUGGCCCUGGAGUAUUCUCUUUGGAAUGCACAAUAUGUUACAUUAAAAACACUUUUUUGGGGACUAAUAUUAAAAUGUCAGACUAUUUCACAUAAAGUUCUGGAUUUCUCAUUCUUUUUUUUUUUUUUUAAGAUUUUAUUUAUUUAUUUGAAAGAGAGAGAGAGACAGCCAGUGAGAGAGGGAACACAAGCUGGGGGAGUGGGAGAGGAAGAAGCAGGCUCCCACAGAGCAGGGAGCCCGAUGUGGGGCUUGAUCCCAGGACCCUGGGAUCACGCCCUGAGCUGAAGGCAGACGCUUAACAACUGAGCCACCCGGGCUCCCUGGCAUUCUUUUUUUAAAAAAAUAAUUAAUUUAUUUGAGAGAGAAUGAGAAAGCACCUGAGUUGCGGGAGGGGCAGAUAGAGAGAGAGAAAGAAUCUUAAGUAGGAGUGGAGCCGCAAGCCAGGCUUGACCUCACAAUCCUGAGAUCAGGACCUGAGCCGGAAUCAAGAGUUGGACGCUUAACCAGCUGAGCUGCCCAGGUGCCCCUGGAUUUCUCAUUCUUUAAAAAAAAAAAAAGAAAAAAAAAUCUCUGGCAACAUUGGACCUUGCUCUAUGGCAACAAUUGGCUGGACCUGAAUAGUGGGUGUGUGUUGUUCAGCUUAUCACAGACCCUGAAUGUGGUCUUGCACCCCUCUCAGUGGUCUUGCACCCCUCUCAGUGGUGCAAGCAGUGGGGCGCCUGGUGGCUCAGUCCGUUGAGUGUCUGCCUUUGGCUCAGGUCAUGAUCCCAGCGUCCCGGGAUCAAGCCCCACAUCGGGCUCCCUGCUAAAUGAGGAGCCUGUUUCUUCCUCUCCCUCUGCCCCUCCCCCUGCUAGUGCACGCGCGCUCUCUUUCUCUCUCUCUUUCUCUCUCCUCUCUCUCGCUGGUGCUCUGUCUCUCAAAUAAAUAAAUAAAAUCUUAAAAAAAUAUGUAAUGG